This 72-nucleotide transfer RNA is filed under the name Ictidomys tridecemlineatus (thirteen-lined ground squirrel). Its description in RNAcentral is "Spermophilus tridecemlineatus (thirteen-lined ground squirrel) tRNA". It matches the Rfam family "tRNA". Rfam says of the family: Transfer RNA (tRNA) molecules are approximately 80 nucleotides in length. Their secondary structure includes four short double-helical elements and three loops (D, anti-codon, and T loops). Lineage: Eukaryota; Metazoa; Chordata; Mammalia; Rodentia; Sciuridae. The record is from Rfam by way of RNAcentral.
GGCAAUGUAGCUCAGUGGUACAGUGCUUGCCUAGAAUGUCUGAGGCCCUUGGUUCAAUCCCCAGCAUUGCAA